UUGGAGGGCAAGUCUGGUGCCAGCAGCCGCGGUAAUUCCAGCUCCAAUAGCGUAUAUUAAAGUUGUUGCAGUUAAAAAGCUCGUAGUUGAAUUUCGGGAUUAGUACGUUGGUCGUGCCUUCGGUACGUACUGGUGUUACUGAUUCCUACCUUCUGACGAACCAUCAUGUCAUUAAUUUGGUGUUGCGGGAAAUUUGGACUGUUACUUUGAAAAAAUUAGAGUGUUUAAAGCAGGCUCGCGCUUGAAUACAUUAGCAUGGAAUAAUGAAAUAGGACGUUGACCCUAUUUUGUUGGUUUCUAAGAUUGACGUAAUGAUUAAUAGGGAUAGUUGGGGGCAUUAGUAUUCAAUUGUCAGAGGUGAAAUUCUUGGAUUUAUUGAAGACUAACUACUGCGAAAGCAUUUGCCAAGGAUGUUUUCAUUAAUCAAGAACGAAAGUUAGGGGAUCGAAGACGAUCAGAUACCGUCGUAGUCUUAACCAUAAACUAUGCCGACUAGGGAUCGGAUGAUGUUAUUUUUAACGACUCAUUCGGCGCCUUACGGGAAAC
RNAcentral lists this ribosomal RNA (546 nucleotides) under uncultured Glomus. RNAcentral's name for it is "SSU rRNA". It matches the Rfam family "Eukaryotic small subunit ribosomal RNA", at positions 548 to 1098 of the family's 1831-position model. The record is from RNAcentral. Lineage: Eukaryota; Fungi; Glomeromycota; Glomeromycetes; Glomerales; Glomeraceae.